GACGAACGCUGGCGGCGUGCUUAACACAUGCAAGUCGAACGGUGAAGGGGUCUGCUUUUGUGGGCCCUGGAUGAGUGGCGAACGGGUGAGUAACACGUGAGUAACCUGCCCCCUUCUUCUGGAUAACCGCAUGAAAGUGUGGCUAAUACGGGAUAUUCUGGGUCUGUCGCAUGAUGGGUCUGGGAAAGAUUGCGCCUUUGGGUGUUUUUGGUGGGGGAUGGGCUCGCGGCCUAUCAGCUUGUUGGUGGGGUGAUGGCCUACCAAGGCGGUGACGGGUAGCCGGCCUGAGGGGGUGGACGCUCACACUGGGACUGAGACACGGCCCAGACUGCUACGGGAGGGAGCGGUGGGGAAUAUUGCACAAUGGGCGCCAGCCUGAUGCAGCGACGCCGCGUGAGGGAUGGCGGCCUGCGGGUUGUAAACCUCUUUCGCAAGUGAAGCAUGCCUGCUCAAUGUGGGUGGGUUGACGGUAGCUGGAUAAGAAGCGCCGGCUAACUACGUG
Molecule: ribosomal RNA, 502 nt
Filed under: uncultured bacterium
Lineage: Bacteria
Description: partial 16S ribosomal RNA
Rfam family: Bacterial small subunit ribosomal RNA
Source: RNAcentral